AUGGCGCGGCGGGCGGUGCAGGCGGCGCUGGCCGUUCAUCUCGAGUCCGACGCCUUCCUCGUCUGUCUCAACCACGCUCUGAGCACCGAGAAGGAGGAGGUGAUGGGGCUGUGCAUAGGCGAGCUGAAGGACGACCCAAGGUAUGACUCGGAAUUUGCACGUACUGGAACCGAAACGCGCCCAGUGGCUGAGAAGGUUGACCCUGUCAGAAUAGUUCACAUUCAUUCUGUCAUCAUCUUGCGCCGUUUUGAAAAGAGGAAGGACCGCGUGGAAAUUUCUCCCGAGCAGCUGUUUGCAGCCUCCACGGAGGCGGAGAGGCUGGCGAAACUAACAGGUCGCCCCUUGAGAGUCGUGGGCUGGUAUCAUUCCCACCCUCACAUAACUGUUUGGCCUUCACAUGUUGAUAUUCGCACACAAGCCAUGUACCAGAUGAUGGAUCGAGGCUUUGUAGGACUUAUUUUUUCCUGUUUUGUAGGAGAUAAAAAGGCAAAUAUUGGCCAGGUAUUCUACACUUGCUUCCAAUCUAUCCAGGCCCAAAAGAGCUCUGGGUAUGAGAGAAUUGAAAUCCCACUUCAUAUUAUACCUCAUGUCACCAUGGGGAAAGUGUGCCUUGAAUCAGCAGUAGAGCUGCCCAGGAUCCUGUGCCAGGAAGAGCAGGAGGCCUUCCGGAGGAUCCACAGCCUCACACACCUGGACUCGGUAACCAAGAUCCAUAAUGGCUUAGUAUUUACCAAGAAUCUGUGCAGUCAGAUGUCAGCAGUCAGCGGGCCCCUUCUACAGUGGUUGGAGGACAGACUGGAGCAGAACCAACAACAAUUGCAGGAGUUACAACAAGAAAAGGAAGAACUUAUACAACAGCUUUCUUCUCUGAAAUAA
Otolemur garnettii (small-eared galago) is the source of this 876-nucleotide RNA transcript. It is a transcript of the gene named lys-63-specific deubiquitinase BRCC36 pseudogene, with no coding region annotated. The transcript has a single exon. The record is from RefSeq and is a predicted model, not a curated record. NCBI's taxonomy places the organism in Eukaryota, Metazoa, Chordata, Mammalia, Primates, Galagidae.